This 434-nucleotide ribosomal RNA is filed under the name uncultured Clostridium sp. RNAcentral's name for it is "partial 16S ribosomal RNA". It matches the Rfam family "Bacterial small subunit ribosomal RNA", at positions 341 to 792 of the family's 1533-position model. Lineage: Bacteria; Bacillati; Bacillota; Clostridia; Eubacteriales; Clostridiaceae. The record is from RNAcentral.
ACGGGAGGCAGCAGUGGGGAAUAUUAGGCAAUGGGGGCAACCCUGACCUAGCAACGCCGCGUGAAGGAUGAAGGUUUUCGGGUUGUAAACUUCUUUGGCAGAGGAAGAUAAUGACGGUACCCUGAGAACAAGCAAAGGAUAACUACAUGCAAGCAGCCGCGGUAAUACGUAGGUGGCGAGCGUUGUCCGGAUUUACUGGGUAUAAAGGGCGAGUAGGCGGGAAUGCAAGUCAGAUGUGAAAUACCGAGGCUUAACUUCGGAGCUGCAUUUGAAACUGCAUUUCUUGAGUGAUGGAGAGGCAGGCGGAAUUCCCGGUGUAGCGGUGAAAUGCAUAGAGAUCGGGAGGAACCCCAGUGGCGAAGGCGGCCUGCUGGACAUUAACUGACGCUGAGGCGCGAAAGUGUGGGGAGCAAACAGGAUUAGAUACCCUGGUA